This 753-nucleotide ribosomal RNA is filed under the name Triticum aestivum (bread wheat). RNAcentral's name for it is "partial small subunit ribosomal RNA". The record is from RNAcentral. Lineage: Eukaryota; Viridiplantae; Streptophyta; Magnoliopsida; Poales; Poaceae.
AUGGUGGACAUGGCCGCCAUGGCCUCGCGAUCGAUCUCGUCGAAGGUGUGGAAGAUGACGGCGGACGGAGUGGUCCUGUGGCACGCCAUUGAGCGCAAGAGCAUUUUGAGCAUGGCGUCGUCGGGGUCCGUGGUGCGGAUUAAGCUCGGGAAGUCUCUGAGGCGGAUGUCUUUGGGCAUCCCCGGCACCCAGUCCAGGACCGUGUCGUCCAGGUGUCCAUUCCUUAGCUGCUCAGCCCCUGUUUCUCAAAGCCAUGAAGGCGAACGCGCUGGACGUCCAGAAGGUGACGCAGGGAAGACCCAUGUCCUUGGACGCGUACAGGAUGUGCUCGACGUCGGAGAUGACGCAGGACGCCGGCGGGAGGAGGCCGGAGACGAGGCUCCGGAAGGGCGGGACCAGGGCCUCCGUGGUGGACAGCAGGGCAGCCAUGUCCUGCGACGCGUCCGCCUCGGACGGGGGCAGGCCGUCCGGGACGGCGGCGAAGCGGAACCCGGGGACCCCGUCCAGCGCGCCGGGGCCGCGCGAGCGGAGGAGGCGGCGGCGGUUGUGCUCCGUGUGGACGAAGGUGACCUGGAAGCCAUGGCAACGGUGGAGGAGCUUGGCCAGCUGGAGCGCCGGCUUCACGUGGCCCUGCGCCGGGAAAGGGAAGAACACGGCGUGACGCUUCUCCACCGACGAUCCUGCAGCUGCCACGGUCGCCAUGGCCGAUCAGUAUUCAGUACUCCCUCUCCAGACGGGAGGUUUUCCCUCUAG